Molecule: ribosomal RNA, 460 nt
Filed under: uncultured bacterium
Lineage: Bacteria
Description: partial 16S ribosomal RNA
Rfam family: Bacterial small subunit ribosomal RNA
Source: RNAcentral
CCUACGGGAGGCAGCAGUGAGGAAUAUUGGUCAAUGGGCUUAAGCCUGAACCAGCCAAGUCGCGUGAGGGAAGACUGCCCUAUGGUUUGUAAACCUCUUUUGUCAGGGAGCACUUGCCGCUACGUGUAGCGUUGUCGAGUGUACCUGAAUAAAAAGCAUCGGCAAACUCAGUGCCUGCAGCCGCGGUAAUACGUGGGAUGCGGGCGUUCUCCGUAUGUAUUGGGUUUAAAGGGUGCGUCGGCGGAGCGUUAAGGCAGUGGGCAAAUUGAGGGGCUCACCCCAUUCGCGCCAUUGAUACUGGCGCACUUGAGUGGAGGAGAAGUAUGUGGAAUGCGAGGUGUAGCGGUGAAAUGCGUAGAUAUCACGAAGAACACCGAUUGCGAAGGCAGCAUGCCGGCUUCCGACUGACGCUGAAGCACGAAAGCGUGGGGAUCGAACAGGAUUAGAUACCCGAGUAGUC